UGCAUGCCUCCGAAUAAGAGGAAGCAAUUCUCUCUGAAUCUGCGAACGGCUCCGCAAACCAGUUGUAAACUAUAGCAAGCCCGCCCGGGGUCCCUUCACGGGGGCUCUGGGCAACACGGAUAACCCUGGUAAUUCUGAGGCUAAUACGAGAACGUAAUACCUGGCUGACCGGGCAACUGGAAGGCUGGGAGACGUGCGAGUUGUGUCGCGAGAAUCUAUCGGGAAUGAACGCACGUCUGGACCGCGCUAAACACGGAUGGGUGCCCUUGCCUUCACGGGUCGGGGUGCCUGCCCGAGCGGCUCUUGCUGUGUGCUUCUGACCUAUCAACUAGACGGCAGCGUAAUGGACAUGCUAUGGUUACAACGGGUACAGAGGAUUAGGGUUCGAUCCUGGAGAGUGGGCCUGAGAGAUUGCUCAUACUUCUAAGGAAGGCAGCAGGCGCGCAACGUUCCCCUUGUGCAAUGCAUGAGGGCGUUAGGGGACAUAUGGAUGCCUGCCCAAUGGGUGGGCAAUUCAAAUGGGUCUGUUGUAAACAGGCUCUCGAGUAACAAUUAGAGGACAAGUCUGGUGCCAGCACCCGCGAAAACCGUGGGGAAAGUGUGAGAUUAAACCUCAUGCUAGUCGAGCCCUCAUUAUGCAUGUUAAGGGGGAACAACUCGGCAACAUCAUCAAAUUGCGGGAAGUUCCUAAAGCUCUCUCCUACCAAGCGCGCACCGAAAGGUGUGUUAAAAUGCAGNACGUUCGUACUCUCCAUAGANAGGAGCCUUGCACGUGGCCAGGGUAAUGACCUCGGGUAUGGUAACAACGGAGGAGAUUGGUGAUUCAGGGGGAUGGCUUUGCACAGGCCUACCAACCCCUUGCUUCCUAUACCAAAUGGAUAAUCCGCAGCCAAGUCCGUACGUACCACAUUGGGCUAGUACCUAUGCCAGGGAUGGCUUGGGAAUCCUCGGUGUGUUACAGGAUGCAGUUCAGAGACUAAAUGGUGGUGGGCGGGUGGGCAGGGGGGGGGAUUCGUCCCUUUCCCCAGCCUGCUUGCAUAAGAUAUAGUCCGGCUCCUGCGAAAGCAGGCCUACUUGACGAAGGGACCCAUGCAAUCCCCCGAGCUUGUAGGGCUAGGAGUAAUCCCUAGUAGAUGGUUGCCAAAAGCAAUGCGGUAAUUCCAGCUCUAAUAGCAUACGUUAAAGUUGUUGCGGUUAAAACGCUCGUAGUCGGCUUCAGAUCAUCAGAUGCCAGAGUCGUAAUCUCGGGUCCGCUGCCCUUCGGGGCGCGCUGGGUGCGUGACGAUGGCGGGCGGUGGUCAAGCGUGCCUCCGGUCGUCCUUCGGGUCACAGGGGCGGCUUCGGCUGCUCUGGCUGGGGGUGCCACUUACCAUGACCAAACUGGGUUGAUCAAGUAAGGUCGUUCGAUCUUGCACAGCACAGCAUGGCAUAAAGGUAACUGGCCUGGUCCUUCUCGCGAGGGGCUGGGCUGGUAAAAGCGAUAGGGGUGUUCGAGGGUGACCGAAUUGCCGGGCGAGUGGUGAAAUACGUUGACCCUGGCAAGUCGACCAAAGGCGAAAGCAGUCAUCAAGGGCACGCCCGUUGAUCAAGAGCGAAAGUUAAGGGUUCGAAGACGAUCAGAUACCGUCGUAGUCUUAACUAUAAAUGAUACUGACCAGGGAUAGGACUCUGUCCAUCUCGACUUCUCCUGGACCUUAGAGAAAUUACAGUCUUUGAGUUCUGGGGGGAGUAUGGUCGCAAGGCUGAAACUUAAAGGAAUUGACGGAAGGGCACACAAAGAGUGGAACCUGCGGCUUAAUUUGACUCAACACGGGAAAACUCACCAGGUCCAGAUACACGUAUGAAAGACAAGCUGAAAGACUUUUCUCAAUGAUGUAAGUGGUGGUGCAUGGUCGUUCUUAGUUCGUGGAUUGAUUUGUCUGGUCUAUUCCGAUAACGAGCGAGACCCCAACGUUCCUAAUAGGGGCGGCAGCCCGGCUCGCCUGUUCGCAGGCUUGCUAGCAGCCGCCUUAUUAGCUUCUUAGACGUAUCAGAGCCGAAAAGGUUCUUGAAAUGGGUUAAUAACAGGUCAGUCAUGCCCUUAGAUGUUCUGGGCCGCACGCGCGUUACAAUGGUAUACAUUAGAACGUGCUCUUUAGUGGCGUCUCCACGGCCGACGGGUCGUGGUAACCCCUAAUCUCUCCCUUGACUGGGACAGACUAUUGCAAUUAUUGGUCUCCAACGAGGAAUUUUUAGUAGUCGCAGGUCAUUAACCUGCGACGAAUGCGUCCCUGCCCUUCGGUGUCCCCGUGUUAGUAGCUGCCUUUGCCGCCCCCCCUCUUCGCCCCCAUGACCUCUGUCAGUAUUCCCUUCGUUCCUGCCCCUAUUUGCCCACCUUCCCCGACGGGGGAACGGGGGGUAAGGGGCGGGCGUGUCGGGAAUCAGGAGCUAUUGGGAGUGGGGAGGGGGGGAAAAAGGGGCGGCCAACGCCGGGGAUUCAGGGGGCAAAAAGGGUGGUUGUCCCCAGCGACUUCUGCCCUAGUCCGGUCCACACGGGAUAAGAGAGGCUUGUACGGAGUAGUGUCCUGACGAGCCCCUAACCUUCCCUGACGGCCAGGCCGAAUCAACGGUCGAGCAAGGCAAGGCGAGACUCACUACCUCAUCUGCCAUGCAGGGCAACACCAGCAAACUGCGGGAACGUCCCUACGCGACUCCACCUACCAACCGAACGCUUGAAAAGGCUUCGGGGCCGAGGGUAACUCCCUUGGGUACGGUAACAACGGUGGGGUAGCAGGAUUACUUGCAGCCAAACCCUCUCAUUUGCCCUUGUUUCGGCAAGGGCACNUGUGGGUCCAGUUCACUGACUAGAAGCUGGUGGGUGGUCAAACAAACCCGUGAAACAUACACGGUAAGGCUCGCCUAAGAUGUAGUCGCACAAAAGCAGGGUAGAGCUUAUAGAAAUCUAUCCCGCCCUCUGUCAGUCCCCAAGCCCUUAUUGACUGGNCCACACGGGCAUUAGGGUCGAUCUUUUGAAAAGGCAAUUUGCCUUUUGGUUUGCCAAUGGGAAGCCCCGGGAAUACGGAAACAACGUUGUACACACCGCCCGUCGCUGCUACCGAUUGGGUUUUGCGGUUACGAGUUCGGAGACCGUGGCUCUCCGCCUUCUUCGGGAGGUGGAUACCGCGGUCGAAGUUCAUAAUUACCGCACGGCCUAGAGGAAGCAGAAGUCGUAACAAG
RNAcentral lists this ribosomal RNA (3216 nucleotides) under Didymium squamulosum. RNAcentral's name for it is "SSU rRNA". The stretch from base 1 to 2297 matches the Rfam family "Eukaryotic small subunit ribosomal RNA". Lineage: Eukaryota; Evosea; Eumycetozoa; Physariida; Didymiaceae. The record is from RNAcentral.